This 477-nucleotide ribosomal RNA is filed under the name Triticum aestivum (bread wheat). Its description in RNAcentral is "partial small subunit ribosomal RNA". Lineage: Eukaryota; Viridiplantae; Streptophyta; Magnoliopsida; Poales; Poaceae. The record is from RNAcentral.
AUGAGAGGAGAAAUUAAAGGACUGAAAACAUUAAUCAUGAAAGAGUCACCUUCUGCCUAUUACAUUCAUUGUUUUGCACAUCAACUCCAACUAGUUCUUGUUGCUGUUGCCAAGGGAAAUGAUGACUGUGUAUGGUUUUUUGAUCGAGUGUCUUUAUUGUUGAACAUUAUUGGAGUUUCUUGUAAGCGUCAUGACAUGCUUAGAUAUGCUAGACUUCAUAAUAUCAUGAAACUACUUGAAUGUGGUAAGUUACAAACUGGGAGUGGUCUGAAUCAAGAGAUGGGGUUACCUAGGCCUGGUGAUACUAGGUGGGGCUCUCAUUACAAAAUUGUUCUCAACAUUAUUGCUAUGUAUCCCACAAUUCGUGAUGUAAUCAUCAUUCUUGGACAAGAUGCUUCACAAAGGAGUGAUUGUCCAAAAUCCAUACCAUUGUUGGAGUGUUCGAGUCAUUUGACUUUAUUUUCAAUGCCCACUUGA